AUGCUGGAGGUAUCAGAAGUGCGAAUGCUGACAUAAGUAACGAUAAAGCGGGUGAAAAGCCCGCUCGCCGGAAGACCAAGGGUUCCUGUCCAACGUUAAUCGGGGCAGGGUGAGUCGACCCCUAAGGCGAGGCCGAAAGGCGUAGUCGAUGGGAAACAGGUUAAUAUUCCUGUACUUGGUGUUACUGCGAAGGGGGGACGGAGAAGGCUAUGUUGGCCGGGCGACGGUUGUCCCGGUUUAAGCGUGUAGGCUGGUUUUCCAGGCAAAUCCGGAAAAUCAAGGCUGAGGCGUGAUGACGAGGCACUACGGUGCUGAAGCAACAAAUGCCCUGCUUCCAGGAAAAGCCUCUAAGCAUCAGGUAACAUCAAAUCGUACCCCAAACCGACACAGGUGGUCAGGUAGAGAAUACCAAGGCGCUUGAGAGAACUCGGGUGAAGGAACUAGGCAAAAUGGUGCCGUAACUUCGGGAGAAGGCACGCUGAUAUGUAGGUGAAGUCCCUCGCGGAUGGAGCUGAAAUCAGUCGAAGAUACCAGCUGGCUGCAACUGUUUAUUAAAAACACAGCACUGUGCAAACACGAAAGUGGACGUAUACGGUGUGACGCCUGCCCGGUGCCGGAAGGUUAAUUGAUGGGGUUAGCGGUAACGCGAAGCUCUUGAUCGAAGCCCCGGUAAACGGCGGCCGUAACUAUAACGGUCCUAAGGUAGCGAAAUUCCUUGUCGGGUAAGUUCCGACCUGCACGAAUGGCGUAAUGAUGGCCAGGCUGUCUCCACCCGAGACUCAGUGAAAUUGAACUCGCUGUGAAGAUGCAGUGUACCCGCGGCAAGACGGAAAGACCCCGUGAACCUUUACUAUAGCUUGACACUGAACAUUGAGCCUUGAUGUGUAGGAUAGGUGGGAGGCUUUGAAGUGUGGACGCCAGUCUGCAUGGAGCCGACCUUGAAAUACCACCCUUUAAUGUUUGAUGUUCUAACGUUGGCCCCUGAUCGGGGUUGCGGACAGUGUCUGGUGGGUAGUUUGACUGGGGCGGUCUCCUCCUAAAGAGUAACGGAGGAGCACGAAGGUUGGCUAAUCCUGGUCGGACAUCAGGAGGUUAGUGCAAUGGCAUAAGCCAGCUUGACUGCGAGCGUGACGGCGCGAGCAGGUGCGAAAGCAGGUCAUAGUGAUCCGGUGGUUCUGAAUGGAAGGGCCAUCGCUCAACGGAUAAAAGGUACUCCGGGGAUAACAGGCUGAUACCGCCCAAGAGUUCAUAUCGACGGCGGUGUUUGGCACCUCGAUGUCGGCUCAUCACAUCCUGGGGCUGAAGUAGGUCCCAAGGGUAUGGCUGUUCGCCAUUUAAAGUGGUACGCGAGCUGGGUUUAGAACGUCGUGAGACAGUUCGGUCCCUAUCUGCCGUGGGCGCUGGAGAACUGAGGGGGGCUGCUCCUAGUACGAGAGGACCGGAGUGGACGCAUCACUGGUGUUCGGGUUGUCAUGCCAAUGGCACUGCCCGGUAGCUAAAUGCGGAAGAGAUAAGUGCUGAAAGCAUCUAAGCACGAAACUUGCCCCGAGAUGAGUUCUCCCUGACCCUUUAAGGGUCCUGAAGGAACGUUGAAGACGACGACGUUGAUAGGCCGGGUGUGUAAGCGCAGCGAUGCGUUGAGCUAACCGGUACUAAUGAACCGUGAGGCUUAACC
Molecule: ribosomal RNA, 1675 nt
Filed under: Escherichia coli
Lineage: Bacteria; Pseudomonadati; Pseudomonadota; Gammaproteobacteria; Enterobacterales; Enterobacteriaceae
Description: bacterial LSU rRNA
Rfam family: Bacterial large subunit ribosomal RNA
Source: RNAcentral